Molecule: long non-coding RNA, 1562 nt
Filed under: Homo sapiens (human)
Lineage: Eukaryota; Metazoa; Chordata; Mammalia; Primates; Hominidae
Description: HSALNT0348831
Source: RNAcentral
ACCUUCUGAAGUAUGUCAUAGUCUUCUGGUUACCAUGUGAACUGUACACAGUCAUGGUCUCCAGAGACCAUCCUCAGAGUUACAGAGCUACUCUCAGAACCAUACUCGUGUUGAGAUUUCACUCACCUUCAAGGAGGAUGGGUCUCCCAAGCGAGCAUAGCUCAUCGGGGUGCAUGGGGCUGGCCACUAACAUCCUUGCCUUGUGUGUGCUCUGGGGACCAGCCAUGGCUAUGACUGUGUGUUUGUUGAACUUGGUGCAGGCGAAGGCAGGAGCUGCCCACGCCUUUCUCCAUGACCUUCUAGCUCUAGCCUUGAUUGGAAGCUUGGCCUUGCUCCUUUUGUUCUAGAAUUCAUUCUGUCUCCAGACAGGUAGAAUAUAAAGAAUGUUCUCAUCAUUCUCCUCCUACCAAGUCAUCCUCAAGUCAGCCAUUGUCCUUGACCUUCUGAGUUACAAGUCUCUGAGUCCUGCCCAUUCUGCGCCAGCUGUGGUCAUGGCUGUUCGGGAACCUCAUUUCUCUACUGGUUGGGGGUCCUGUCCUUAAGCUCCCAUCUGUCAGUCCUCGGGGGCCUGUCCUGGGGAACUACCUCCCAUCAACUACACCUUUGGUCUUGCAUCCAAGCCUCCGGAUGUCUUGUCCCUGAGUGCUUCCCAAAUGUUGGUCUUUGAUGUUCUUGUAGCCAACCGCCUGAAGAUGCUGGAAGCCAACUGCCUGAAACCCCCGCUUCGGCCAGUUUCCUUUACUUUCUGUUCAGUUAACAUCCUAGACCUCUGAUUCGGCCUCAGAUUUGGCUCUCGGUGCCUCUACUCCUCUGGUCCUUUCACCUCAAACUGCGGUCCAGCUCUCGAGUCUCCCUUGUAUGAACUAGAGCUCAGGUAUUGAUGACAAGUGGUUGGAUGUGACACUGGUGAGGGAGACAAGGGCCAGGUUUGAAGGGACCUGUAGCCAGACUAAGGACUCUGAACUUUAUUUUGAGCCCAACGAAGGAUUGUUGAUUUUCUUUUCUUUUGUCAGAAGUGAGACAGCCACACUGAAGGCUUGCUUCCCUCCUGCUCAUAGAGAGCUGAUAGCAACAACCAAGGCUACAUGCUUCCUGAGUUACAGCUGAUGAGAGACUGUCCACUCCACAACUGUCAGAGUCCUGAGCUUCAUUCCGAUUGCAACCCUGCCGCAUGCUCACUCCUUACUACUGUGAAAGGUCAUUGCUAUCAUUAUGGUGCUCAGCGGGUCUUUACUAAUCUAUUUACUCAUACUUAAAUGGAAAAUUUCAGAGUAUGUGUUUCCUCAUGGUUCUAUCUUUGGGAACAAGUCUGAUGGCCACUGCCUUUCUCCCUGCCAGAGUCAGGAUCUAGCAUCAGGGGUUUCCAGGGUUCCCUGGGAGCAGACGACUGUUGCCUAACAGCUACGUGGCUAACAGUACCACUGCCAGCAAGAACACUCCUUUACUUCACAGAAGUCUCCCCCUUCCUGCUCCACCAUGCUAGAGGGCUUGAAAUGCCUUGAAAUUCUCUCCCUUCAGAGUUGAAAUACCACUUCCCUGAAAAUAAAAUGCAUCUUCCCCAA